Molecule: ribosomal RNA, 253 nt
Filed under: uncultured bacterium
Lineage: Bacteria
Description: partial 16S ribosomal RNA
Rfam family: Bacterial small subunit ribosomal RNA
Source: RNAcentral
UACAGAGGGUGCGAGCGUUAAUCGGAAUUACUGGGCGUAAAGCGUGCGCAGGCGGUUCGCUAAGACAGGUGUGAAAUCCCCGGGCUCAACCUGGGAAUGGCGCUUGUGACUGGCGGGCUUGAGUACGGCAGAGGGAGGUGGAAUUCCACGUGUAGCAGUGAAAUGCGUAGAUAUGUGGAGGAACACCGAUGGCGAAGGCAGCCUCCUGGGCCAGUACUGACGCUCAUGCACGAAAGCGUGGGGAGCAAACAGG